GUGCUUCUAAAAAGGAGAGCUAGUUUGCAUCUCCCUGUACAAGGAUGGAAUCAACCUUCUUGGGAGUGGACUAACUUGUUGGGCAGCCAAGAUUGAUU
This 98-nucleotide non-coding RNA is filed under the name Solanum tuberosum (potato). Lineage: Eukaryota; Viridiplantae; Streptophyta; Magnoliopsida; Solanales; Solanaceae. The record is from RNAcentral.